RNAcentral lists this ribosomal RNA (510 nucleotides) under uncultured bacterium. RNAcentral's name for it is "bacterial SSU rRNA". It matches the Rfam family "Bacterial small subunit ribosomal RNA", at positions 29 to 518 of the family's 1533-position model. The record is from RNAcentral.
AACGAACGCUGGCGGCGUGCUAACACAUGCAAGUCGAACGCGAAAGGGACUUCGGUCCUGAGUAAAGUGGCGCACGGGUGAGUAACGCGUAGAUAACCUGUCUUCAUGUCUGGAAUAAUACGCCGAAAGGGGUACUAAUACCGGAUAUUCUUGCUUUUCAUAAGUUAUGCAAGCAAAGGUGGCCUCUGCAUAUGCUACUGCAUGAAGAGGGGUCUGCGUACCAUUAGCUAGUAGGUGGGGUAAUGGCCUACCUAGGCGACGAUGGUUAGCGGGUCUGAGAGGAUGAUCCGCCACACUGGCACUGGAACACGGGCCAGACUCCUACGGGAGGCAGCAGUGAGGAAUAUUGCGCAAUGGGGGGAAACCCUGACGCAGCGACGCCGCGUGAGUGAGGAAGGCCUUCGGGUCGUAAAGCUCUGUCAAGAGGAAAGAAGUGUACAAUGGCUAAUACCUGUUGUAUUUGACGGUACCUCUAAAGGAAGCACCGGCUAACUCCGUGCCAGCCGCCGC